CUUAUAAACCUGCCUGAGGCAGUGCUAGCUCUACACUUUACCCAGGAAAUCCUGUCAGUGGGAAGUGGGCUUCAACAGCACACUGUACAGAGGGGAAACUGAGGCUUGGCCUGUGAAGGCAAAGUAAGGUGGCUCUGAGGGUAAAGGGCCGGAUGCACAGUCACACGUACCUGAGCCUAAGAACCCUGGUGGCAGCAGGUGCCUUCCACCCCAGCACUGGGAACAGACAGAUUUGAAGCAAGAUGGCCAAGUGUCCCAGGAAGAAUGUUAUGCUGGAGUCAAACCUGGGACCUUAUUCAUGCUGGGCAAGUGCUCCACCACCAAGCUAUAUUCCCAGAGCCCCAUUUUAUAGAAAACACACACACACACACACAGAGAGAGAGAGAGAGAGAGAGAGAGAGAGAGAGAGAGAGAGAGAGAGAGAGAGAUUUACUACAAGCCAAGUCUUGCCUGGUGGUGGUGGUGCACGCCUUUAUCCCAGCACUCGGGAGGCAAAGGCAGGCAGAUCUCUGUGAGUUUGAGGCCAGCCAGUUCCAGGACAGACUCCAAAGCCCAGAGAAACCCAGUCUUGGAAAAAAAAAAAAAAAAAAAGUCACGUCUUACCCAUGCGACUGUCCAAUCGUGAGCUGAACAAGGAUGACACCAAUGAACAAGCCAAAGUGGAUGGGGAAAGCCCCUGAGGUCUCAACCUUACACAGAACUAUAGGCAACCGAGAACCACUGGGAGUGAGGGAGGUGGCCUUCCAGGGAAGAGCAUAGCAAUUGGCUGCCCAGUGCCAAAAGAACAACUUCCACAUUGGAACAUGGAAUUUGGAGUGUUCCCUGGCUAUGGUCACUCAUAUUCAGCUCCAAAAUAAGCCAUCUCUCAACCUGUUCCACG
RNAcentral lists this long non-coding RNA (880 nucleotides) under Cricetulus griseus (Chinese hamster). RNAcentral describes it as "lncRNA (ENSCGRG00015042639.1)". The record is from RNAcentral. Lineage: Eukaryota; Metazoa; Chordata; Mammalia; Rodentia; Cricetidae.